CUAGUACUCCCUCCGUUCGGAAUUACUUGUCCCAGAAAUAGAUGUAUCUAGAAUUAGAAUAUGUCUAGAUACAUCGUUUCCGCGACAAGUAAUUCCGAACGGAGGGAGUAUAUG
Molecule: non-coding RNA, 114 nt
Organism: Triticum urartu
Lineage: Eukaryota; Viridiplantae; Streptophyta; Magnoliopsida; Poales; Poaceae
Source: Rfam